Molecule: transfer RNA, 84 nt
Filed under: Candidatus Woesearchaeota archaeon CG10_big_fil_rev_8_21_14_0_10_33_12
Lineage: Archaea; Nanobdellati; Candidatus Woesearchaeota
Description: tRNA-Leu
Rfam family: tRNA
About the family: Transfer RNA (tRNA) molecules are approximately 80 nucleotides in length. Their secondary structure includes four short double-helical elements and three loops (D, anti-codon, and T loops).
Source: RNAcentral
GCGGGGAUGCCGGAGCGGUCAAACGGGACAGGCUUAGGACCUGUUGGCUUAGUGCUUGCGGGGGUUCGAAUCCCUUUCCCCGCA